This 2119-nucleotide ribosomal RNA is filed under the name metagenome. Its description in RNAcentral is "bacterial LSU rRNA". It matches the Rfam family "Bacterial large subunit ribosomal RNA", at positions 14 to 2141 of the family's 2925-position model. The record is from RNAcentral.
AGGGCGCAUGGCGGAUGCCUUGGCUCUCGGAGGCGAUGAAGGACGUGAUAAGCUGCGAUAAGCUUCGGGUAGGUGCAAAUAACCUUUGAUCCGAAGAUUUCCGAAUGGGACAACCCGACAUUCUGAAGGAAUGUCAUCCUGCUUGGCAGGAGGCUAACGCAGGGAACUGAAACAUCUUAGUACCUGUAGGAAAAGAAAAUAAUAAUGAUUCCCCAAGUAGUGGCGAGCGAACGGGGAUUAGCCCAAACCAAUGUUGUUACGGCAAUAUUGGGGUUGUAGGACCACGUUGUCGCAAGACAUUCAGUGAGAAGAAUUCUUUGGAAAAUGAAACCAUAGACGGUGAUAGUCCGGUAUUCGAAGCUGAACGAAGCGUAGUGGUAUCCUGAGUAGCGCGGGACACGAGGAAUCUUGCGUGAACCAGCCGGGACCAUCCGGUAAGGCUAAAUACUCCCGAGAGACCGAUAGCGAACCAGUACUGUGAAGGAAAGGUGAAAAGCACUUCGAAUAGAAGAGUGAAAUAGUCCCUGAAACCAUGCGCCUACAAGCGGUCGGAGCAGCUUAUGCUGUGACGGCGUGCCUUUUGCAUAAUGAACCUACGAGUUACUUUUUCCGGCAAGGUUAAGGAUCUGGAGAUCCGUAGCCGAAGCGAAAGCGAGUCUGAACAGGGCGAUAAGUCGGAAGGAGUAGACGCGAAACCAAGUGAUCUACCCUUGGCCAGGUUGAAGGUUAGGUAACACUAACUGGAGGACCGAACCGAUAAGCGUUGAAAAGCUUCCGGAUGAACUGAGGGUGGGGGUGAAAGGCUAAUCAAACUUGGAGAUAGCUCGUACUCCCCGAAAUGCAUUUAGGUGCAGCCUUGUGAGUUACUAAUGUGAGGUAGAGCGACUGAUAAGAUGCGAGGGCUUCACCGCCUAUCAAGUCUUGAUAAACUCCGAAUGCGCAUUAGUUCUAUCACAGGAGUGAGGGCAUGGGUGCUAAGGUCCAUGUCCUAAAGGAGAAGAAUCCGGACCAUCAGCUAAGGUCCCGAAAUAGAUACUAAGUUGAACUAACGAAGUCAGAUUGCUAAGACAGCUAGGAUGUUGGCUUGGAAGCAGCCAUUCAUUUAAAGAGUGCGUAACAGCUCACUAGUCGAGGAGUUUGGCGUGGAUAAUAAUCGGGCAUUAAGCAAUUUACCGAAGCUAUGGGAUGUUAACUAAACACUAACAUCGGUAGGGGAGCAUUCCACUCUGCGUCGAAGGUGAAGCGUGAGCUUUGCUGGAGCGUGUGGAAAAGCAAAUGUAGGUAUAAGUAACGAUAAAGGGGGUGAGAAACCCCCUCGCCGAAAGACUAAGGUUUCCUGAUCAACGCUAAUCGGAUCAGGGUUAGUCGGGUCCUAAGGCUCAGCCGAACGGUGAGGCCGAUGGCAGAACAGGUUAAUAUUCCUGUACUACCUUAAGGAGUGACGUGGAGACGGAGUCGUGACAACGCCGCGGACUGACGGAAUAGUCCGUUGAAGGGUGUAGAUGUUGAUUGUGGCAGGCAAAUCCACCACGAGAGUCGAACCUGAUAGUAUACCAAUUCCUUCGGGAAACGGUAAUAGUGCGUGUAAACAUACUCCCGAGAAAAUCCGCUAAACUUAAUCCUUGAGGUACCCGUACCGCAAACGGACACACGUAGUCGGGUUGAAUAUACUAAGGCGCUUGAGUGAUUCACGGUUAAGGAACUAGGCAAAUUGACCCUGUAACUUCGGGAUAAAGGGUCCCAACGAGAGUUGGGCGCAGAGAAUAGGUCCAGGCAACUGUUUAACAAAAACACAGGGCUGUGCCAAAUUGAAAGAUCACGUAUACAGCCUGACACCUGCCCGGUGCUGGAAGGUUAAGAGGAGAUGUCAUCGCAAGAGAAGCAUUGAAUUGAAGCCCCAGUAAACGGCGGCCGUAACUAUAACGGUCCUAAGGUAGCGAAAUUCCUUGUCGGGUAAGUUCCGACCUGCACGAAUGGUGUAAUGAUCUGGACACUGUCUCAACCGUGAGCUCAGUGAAAUUGUAGUAUCGGUGAAGAUGCCGAUUACCCGCGAUGGGACGAAAAGACCCCGUGAACCUUUACUAUAGCUUAACAUUGAAUUUGGGUAAUUGAUGUGUAG